AUGGCGUACAAGCUCUCCCUGCCGCCCGCGAGCCAGGUGCAUCCGGUCUUCCACGUAUCCCAGUUCAAGCCAUUCACGCCGGACUAUAUGCCGGUGUACGCAGAGCUGCCGCGCGUGCCGGACCUCUCCGUGUCGACGACGGCACCAACGCAGCUGCUGGAACGGCGCAUGAUGAAGCGCGGGAAUGCUGUCAUCGUGCAAGUCAAGGUGCAGUGGGGCGAAGGAGCGUUAGCCGCCAUGACAUGGGAGGACUGCGAGGUUCUCCGGCAGCGGUUUCCGGCGGCAGCCAUUUGGGAGGACUCGGAGCCAAGCUCCCAGGAGGAAGCUCAGUCUUAA
This 336-nucleotide ribosomal RNA is filed under the name Triticum aestivum (bread wheat). RNAcentral's name for it is "partial small subunit ribosomal RNA". The record is from RNAcentral. Lineage: Eukaryota; Viridiplantae; Streptophyta; Magnoliopsida; Poales; Poaceae.